This 430-nucleotide ribosomal RNA is filed under the name Bacillus cereus. RNAcentral describes it as "bacterial SSU rRNA". It matches the Rfam family "Bacterial small subunit ribosomal RNA", at positions 551 to 980 of the family's 1533-position model. Lineage: Bacteria; Bacillati; Bacillota; Bacilli; Caryophanales; Bacillaceae. The record is from RNAcentral.
UUAUUGGGCGUAAGCGCGCGCAGGUGGUUUCUUAAGUCUGAUGUGAAAGCCCACGGCUCAACCGUGGAGGGUCAUUGGAAACUGGGAGACUUGAGUGCAGAAGAGGAAAGUGGAAUUCCAUGUGUAGCGGUGAAAUGCGUAGAGAUAUGGAGGAACACCAGUGGCGAAGGCGACUUUCUGGUCUGUAACUGACACUGAGGCGCGAAAGCGUGGGGAGCAAACAGGAUUAGAUACCCUGGUAGUCCACGCCGUAAACGAUGAGUGCUAAGUGUUAGAGGGUUUCCGCCCUUUAGUGCUGAAGUUAACGCAUUAAGCACUCCGCCUGGGGAGUACGGCCGCAAGGCUGAAACUCAAAGGAAUUGACGGGGGCCCGCACAAGCGGUGGAGCAUGUGGUUUAAUUCAAAUCAACGCGAACAACCUUACCAGGUC